GAUGAACGCUGGCGGCGCGCCUAAUACAUGCAAGUCGAGCGAACAGACGAGGAUCUUGCUCCUCUGACGUUAGCGGCGGACGUGUGAAUAGCACGUGGAUAACCUACCUAGAAGGCGGGGAUAACUUGGGGAAACCGGAGCUAAUCGCAGAUAAUAUCGUGAACCGCAUGGGUAGAUGGUGAAAGAGGAUUUUGCUUUGAGUUGUAGAUGCAUCCGCGCCGCAUUCGCUAGUUGGUAAGGUAACGGCUUACCAAGGCAACGAUGCGGAGCCGCCAUGAGAGGGUGGUCCGCCACACUGGCAGUGAGACACGGUGCACACUCCUAGAGGAGGACGCAGUAGAGACUCUUACGCAAUGGAGCAGAGCCUGAUGGAGCAAAGCCGCGUGAGUCCUGAAGGUCUUAGGAUCGUAAAACUAUGUUAUUAGGGAAGAACAAAUCUGUAAGUAAUUAUGCACGUAUUGACGGUACUUAAUAAGAAAGCCACGGCUAACUACGUG
RNAcentral lists this ribosomal RNA (497 nucleotides) under uncultured bacterium. RNAcentral's name for it is "partial 16S ribosomal RNA". It matches the Rfam family "Bacterial small subunit ribosomal RNA", at positions 28 to 507 of the family's 1533-position model. The record is from RNAcentral.